GAGCAUGCUCUCUGCCAGAGCUCGGGACUGGUGCUGACCUGCAGGAUGGAGGAGAGAAGAGAAGACUCAUCAACAGAACAAAUGUUGCUGGAACAUUACUUAUAAUGGCAACAAUUGGAAACAAUCAAAGGAUGUCACUAUAGGGACUUGGGUUAAGAAAAUUAUGACACAUCAAAAGCACAGUGAAGAGAACUUCUGUCAAUCCUGUCAAGCACAUGAAGAUGUGAAGUUUCAACUGGAUUCAUUUCUAUAAAUAACCGAUACAAUUUCCAGAAAACCCUGAAGUCAGGAAAACCAAUGUUACUAAUGGCCUUAGGCUACGAGAAGAUCUGGUUAAGAGUAUCCUAAGGGAGGAUCUAAGCCUGUUCAUACUCUACAAGCAAAGAAACAUUAAAAAACAAAACAAAAAACCAAAACUUGAAGAAACGAAGUGACCAGUUCACUACCAUUCAACUAUUAAGGGAUAGAGCCAGGACUCAGUAUCUAGUCAUGUGAUGACAAAGCCCGCACUCUUACUGUACAGCCUCACCUUGGAUAAAUCUCAUUUCAAGACAGGUAAUUUUGAGAAUAUCUUAGGCCCCCCUUCUAUCAAAGAGAGGGAUCGAAUUUAAAAUUUAUCUGGAAUGCCAACUCUGAUUAACUCCCUGGAGAGAGUCCCUGGAGGACUGGUUGAGAAGAACCCUGAGGAUGCAUCAGUGUUCAUCAGGAAAGGGCGCCAACACCCAGCGUGCCCACUCAUGAGCAGGGAGGAGAUGAUGCAUGGGAAUCCACAACUCUAUCUCAAGUUUCCCAGACACACACUAAAGCUCUGCAGAAGAUUUUGGUGCCCCUGAGCUACUUUUACACAGCAAAGAAGACUUCUGAUGUGAUUCCUGGUGGCAGUGCGUAGUAUGCGAUGAUUUCCAUCAGAGUGGCUGGGUUUGUCAAAGCUUUAUUAGAGAUUCCUAUGAUUUGAAGAAAAAGCCAGGGUCCUAUUUUGGCAACUUUUCUGAUAUAAGUAAUAAAAACAAAAUGCCAUGAAUUUAAAUUGUUAGGUUUCUUUUUUACAAAAAGUUUAUACUCAAAAUGUACAAUACCCAAUUACAAGUUGCAUAUGUAUAUAAAAUACCCAAUUAAAAGAUGAAGAAAUAGAAGAAAAUCAACAAAGUCUGUCAACUGAAAUGUUCCUGAAACACCAAGUUUUUGGCCAGGCUCCUAAGACUCCCCACCAGUACAAUACAAACAUUAAAAAUUUUUAAAGCUCAGAAGUAAUUUACUUUUCAGCAGCACCACACGUGAUCAAAACAGGGGGAAGGUUGGAGGAGAAAUAGGCUGUGCCACUAGUUUAUGCGUCUAAACCAAAAUCCAACAACCAUUUCACCUUCCUUGCUAAAGAGAGAAAAGGACCAGGAACUAGCACAGAGUUAACCAUAGGAUUGCUUAUCUGUGAACAAUGAAAU
Molecule: long non-coding RNA, 1439 nt
Filed under: Homo sapiens (human)
Lineage: Eukaryota; Metazoa; Chordata; Mammalia; Primates; Hominidae
Description: HSALNT0248579
Source: RNAcentral